This 254-nucleotide ribosomal RNA is filed under the name uncultured bacterium. RNAcentral describes it as "partial 16S ribosomal RNA". It matches the Rfam family "Bacterial small subunit ribosomal RNA", at positions 524 to 776 of the family's 1533-position model. The record is from RNAcentral.
GACGAACCGUGCGAACGUUAUUCGGAAUCAUUGGGCUUAAAGGGCGCGUAGACGGUCGGCCGCGUCGAGAGCUGAAAGCCCCCGGCUUAACCGGGGAAUGGGCCUCGAAACGGGUCGUCUCGAGUGGAGGAGAGGGAUCCGGAACUGCCGGUGGAGCGGUGAAAUGCGUUGAGAUCGGCAGGAACACCGAUGGCGAAAGCAGGGUCCUGGACUCCCACUGACGUUGAGGCGCGAAAGCCAGGGUAGCGAACGGG